CCACGCUGCUGACCCAGCCCACGUCCCACCCCUUUGCUUUGGGUUUGGGCUGGGCUUGCUGCGUGGGC
Gallus gallus (chicken) is the source of this 68-nucleotide microRNA precursor. The record is from Ensembl. NCBI's taxonomy places the organism in Eukaryota, Metazoa, Chordata, Aves, Galliformes, Phasianidae.